Molecule: ribosomal RNA, 253 nt
Filed under: uncultured bacterium
Lineage: Bacteria
Description: partial 16S ribosomal RNA
Rfam family: Bacterial small subunit ribosomal RNA
Source: RNAcentral
UACGGAAGGGGCGAGCGUUGUUCGGAAUCAUUGGGCGUAAAGGGCGCGUAGGUGGUUCUGUGUGUCUACUGUGAAAGCGUACAGCUCAACUGUAUUGUGUCGGUAGAAACUGCAGGACUUGAGGCUGGGAGGGGCUGGUGGAAUUCCCUGUGUAGCGGUGAAAUGCGUAGAGAUGGGGGAGAACACUCGUGGCGAAGGCGGCCAGCUAGACCAGUUCUGACACUGAGGCGCGGCAGCGUGGGGAGCAAACAGG